UUAAAUCAUUAAAUAAAAAGGAUUUGGCGGUAUUUUAAAUAAUUAGAGGAACCUGUGUAAUAAUUGAUAAUCCACGAUAAGAUAAACUUAAAAAUUUAUGUAUUGCUGUUUUAAGAUUAUUAUUAAUUAAAUAUUUAUUUUUUUAUUUUAAAAUAAUUCAAGUCAAAAUAUAGUUUUGUUAAGUAAUGGGUUACAAUAAAAAUUUYAAAUUGGAUUUAAUAGUMA
Molecule: ribosomal RNA, 225 nt
Filed under: Parachartergus flavofasciatus
Lineage: Eukaryota; Metazoa; Arthropoda; Insecta; Hymenoptera; Vespidae
Description: partial small subunit ribosomal RNA
Source: RNAcentral